Non-coding RNA from Camellia sinensis, 400 nucleotides. The record is from RefSeq and is a predicted model, not a curated record. Lineage: Eukaryota; Viridiplantae; Streptophyta; Magnoliopsida; Ericales; Theaceae.
CAAUUUUCAAAUCCGCGCUUAUUUUUUCUCUAUCUCUAUUGCGUAGGAACCCUAGUUUCUCUCUCUCCACAUCUGAGCCAUCUCGUUAGGGUUUUUGCUUUCUUUGUAGUUGUAGGGUUUUGAUACGUCGUCAUUGUUGUGUUUCUCUCUCUGGAUUUGUAGUCUUCGUAUCAGUUUAUCUCUCUAAGUUCGUGCUUUCUUUGUGUCUAUGGAGUUCGGAGGUGCUCGAAAGAGAGGGAGGCCACAAGCUUCCUUGAAUGGAAAUGGAGGGUACAAGAAAUCCAAGCAAGAAAUGGAGUCCUUUCCAACUGGUAUAGGAAGCAAAUCGAAGCCAUGCACAAAGUUUUUCAGCACUUCGGGGUGCCCAUUUGGCGAGGGAUGCCAUUUCCUGCAUUACGUU